RNAcentral lists this ribosomal RNA (453 nucleotides) under uncultured bacterium. RNAcentral describes it as "bacterial SSU rRNA". It matches the Rfam family "Bacterial small subunit ribosomal RNA", at positions 29 to 484 of the family's 1533-position model. The record is from RNAcentral.
AUUGAACGCUGGCGGCAUGCCUUACACAUGCAAGUCGAACGGCAGCGACGGGGCAACCUGGUGGCGAGUGGCGAACGGGUGAGUAAUGCAUCGGAACGUGCCAGUUGAGUGGGGGAUAACGUAGCGAAAGUUGCGCUAAUACCGCAUAUUCUGUGAGGCAGGAAAGCAGGGGACCGCAAGGCCUUGCGCUCUUUGAGCGGCCGAUGUCAGAGUUAGCUAGUUGGUGAGGUAACGGCUUACCAAGGCGACGAUCUGGUAGCGGGUCUGAGAGGAUGAUCCGCCACACCUGGAACUGAGACACGGUCCAGACUCCGUACGGGAGGCAGCAGUGGGGAAUUUUGGACAAUGGGCGCAAGCCUGAUCCAGCCAUGCCGCGUGAGUGAAGAAGGCCUGGUGUAAGCUCUUCGCCGGAGAAUACGCAUGGUAGUACCUCGUGUGAGUGACGGUACCGGA